This 2409-nucleotide long non-coding RNA is filed under the name Capra hircus (goat). RNAcentral's name for it is "lncRNA (ENSCHIG00010019391.1)". The record is from RNAcentral. Lineage: Eukaryota; Metazoa; Chordata; Mammalia; Artiodactyla; Bovidae.
GUGACCAAAUCGUGAUACAGUGAUGACCCAGCUGCUGCUCUUCUGGGCCCUCCAAGGCCGACAGCAAAGACCAGACACACAUCCAGACAUCCACGAUGCAACGUCUACAAUCAGCUCCACGGCUGGUCACGCAGCAUCCCGCUGCCCUGCAGAGGCCCUGCUCCUUGGACCCUGGCUCUGGGCAGCUGCCUCCUCUGGGUCAUCACACUCUUUCCCAAACCCUCUUGCAGCUGAAAAUCUUGGUCAUCUGUGUGGCUAGACAGGUGACACUGGUUCUCCACCCAGAGUCUGUGGGUCCCACGAUUUUCCACCCCACGACAAGGCCUUCCCCUGCACCCGAACCAGGAUUUCCAUGGGCCCUCAUUACAAGUUUCAAUGUGGCCAGUGUCAGAGCCCAGGGAAGCUUUGAAUCCACGGCUCCCACUGAAAUCACCGGAGUCCCACCCCUAGGGACUGCUGCCAUCCGUCCAAGGGGUAGCCAGAGCUUCCAGGCGAUUCAAAUGUGCAGCCAGGGCUGCCAGUCACUGCUCCAGAGGACUGGCCUGGUUCCCUGCCCCGAUCCCUACAGCUGGUGCAUCCUCCACUGAGGUGAGGCGCCUCUGCAGCCUGAUCAGCCUCGAGACUGACCAGACAGUGCUCCCCUAACCCUCAGGGUAGGCUGGGAUCCAGGCUGCCCCACAUGCCUGAAGCAUGGAGCACAUAACCAGGACCACCCGCUUCCAGGGGCCCUGGGGCUGCUUCUAAGGCCAGAAAAGCCCUGCAGCUCAGAUUCAUUUAAUCAAGGCUGCGCUGGACUGGCUUCCCUCCCCUGCUCCUCCCCAUCCUUCCUCCUUUAGGACUAGGACUUGGAAUGCAUUUUUAUUAGACUUUUCCUAGGUGAAAAUAGUGCUGGGCUGGGGGUGGGGAAACUGGAUGGAGUGUGAUUUACACUUACCCUGAGUCCUCACACCUCCCAAGGGCAGCCGGAAUCAGCAGCCUGCUCACAGAGCUGCUGGCAGAUGGGGAGCCCUGCAAAGUCUGGGCUCAGAUCUGCCCCAGUGGGAACCACAUCUCUGCACAAGGGCCCAAAACCUCACAAAAGCCAAAGACCCUUUGCAAAACAAACAGGGGAAAGCUGGGUGUCAGUGUCUAUAGGGUUCAGGCAAAGACACCACUCAGAGAAACAGCCCGAACCCCUUACACAUCAGAUCAGACUGUCCCUAUUAUGUUUUCUCUUUGCUCCAAGCAGCACAUCUCUCUCUCUUUUUUUUUUUUAAGUCAAUUGCAUUUCUUGCUUUCGUUCUUUAUUUUGUUACAACUUUGCACAGGUCUUAGCUGUGGGACACGAGGUCUUCGUUGCAUCACACGGAAUCUUCCCUUGUGGCACAGGGACUCUCCAGCUGUGCCACUCCAGCUCCCUAGUGUGCGUGCUCAGUAGUUGCAGCCCACCGGCUUAGUCGAUCCUCAGACUGUGGGAUCUUAGUUUCUCGACCAGGGAUCGAACCCACGUCCCCCGCCUUCCCUCAGUCAUUUCACUCCUUCUAUGUCUGUGCACUGUGGUGUUAAUCCUCUAGGGAGGAGGCAGAUUUUAAAAGCCUGUUGGGCAUUUAUUUACAACCUUGAUAAGGGUUAAGGAGGGGCUGACCCAACCCAGAGGGUCAGCAAAGGGACAGCCUAGUUGCUCUCUGAUGGGUGUGCAAGGGGUAAAACCAUGAAGGUGAGGGACGCUAGUGCCCAGAAAGCAGGUGUGUGCCUCGUGAAGAAGAAAAGAGCAUGGCUUGUCCUAGAAACCAAGAGAAGAGGCAAGGUGGGGUGAGGGGGGGGAAUGCGGGGCAGGAAUAGAGAUGGCAGAUGAGUGGGNNNNNNNNNNNNNNNNNNNNNNNNNNNNNNNNNNNNNNNNNNNNNNNNNNNNNNNNNNNNNNNNNNNNNNNNNNNNNNNNNNNNNNNNNNNNNNNNNNNGUCAAAGCUAUGGUUUUUCCAGUAGUCAGGUAUGGUUGUGAGAGUUGGACCAUAAAGAUGACUGAGCACAGAGGGACUUUCAAACUGUGGUGCUGGAGAAGACUCUAGUGAGCCCCUUGGACAGCAAAGUAAUUAAACCAGGCAAUCCUAAAGGAAAUCAGCACUAAAUAUUCAUUGGAAGGAUUGAUGCUGAAGCUGAGGCUCCAACACUCUGAUCACCUGAUGCAAAGAGCCAAUUCACUGGGAAAGACCUUGAUGCUCGGAAAGACUGAAUGCAGGAGAAGAAUGUGGUGACAGAAGUUAAGAUGAUUGGAUGGCAUCAUGAACUCAAUGGACAUGAGCUUGGGAAAACUCCAGGAGAUAGUGAGGACAGGGAAACCUAACAUGCUGCAUUCCAUGGGGUCACAAAAUGUUGGACUUGAUUGAGCAACUGAACAACAACUGAUGCUAAUAAUAGCAAUGUGCUAUUAC